UGGAUUCUUACUGCAAUGACCGAAGUGCA
This 29-nucleotide non-coding RNA is filed under the name Homo sapiens (human). The record is from RNAcentral. Lineage: Eukaryota; Metazoa; Chordata; Mammalia; Primates; Hominidae.